RNAcentral lists this ribosomal RNA (500 nucleotides) under uncultured bacterium. RNAcentral's name for it is "partial 16S ribosomal RNA". It matches the Rfam family "Bacterial small subunit ribosomal RNA", at positions 30 to 523 of the family's 1533-position model. The record is from RNAcentral.
AUUGAACGCUAGCGGGAUGCCUUACACACGCAAGUCGAACGGCAGCACGGACUUCGGUCUGGUGGCGAGUGGCGAACGGGUGAGUAAAGUAUCGGAACGUGCCCAGUAGCGGGGGAUAACUACGCGAAAGCGUAGCUAAUACCGCAUACGCCCUAAGGGGGAAAGCGGGGGAUCGCAAGACCUCGCACUAUUGGAGCGGCCGAUACCGGAUUAGCUAGUUGGUGGGGUAAAGGCCUACCAAGGCGACGAUCCGUAGCUGGUUUGAGAGGACGGCCAGCCACACUGGGACUGAGACACGGCCCAGACUCCUACGGGAGGCAGCAGUGGGGAAUUUUGGACAAUGGGGGCAACCCUGAUCCAGCCAUUUCGCGUGUGCGAUGAAGGCCUUCGGGUUGUAAAGCACUUUUGGCAGGGAAGAAAAGGAUUGGGCUAAUACCCUGAUUCGCUGUCGGUACCUGCAGAAUAAGCACCGGCUAACUACGUGCCAGCCGCCGCCGUAA